GACGAACGCUGGCGGCGUGCCUAAUACAUGCAAGUCGAACGCAGUGGGGACGGGUGAGUAACACGUGGGUUACCUCCCAUCACAGGGGAUAACACUUGGAAACAGGUGCUAAACCGAUACUGAUGGAUGGACCCGCGGUGCAUUAGCUAGUUGGUGAGGUAACGGCUCACCAAGGCCACGAGCCAUAGCCGACCUGAGAGGAUGAUCGGCCAGACUGGGACUGAGACACGGCCCAGAAUCCUACGGGAGGCAGCAGUGGGGAAUAUUGGGCAAUGGACGAAAGGCUGACCGAGCAACGCCGCGUGAAUGAAGAAGGUUUUAGGAUGGUAAAACUAUGUUGUUAGAGAAGCGGUAUCUAACCAAAAAGCAACGGCUAACUACGUGCCAGCAGCCGCGGUAAUAC
RNAcentral lists this ribosomal RNA (403 nucleotides) under uncultured bacterium. RNAcentral describes it as "partial 16S ribosomal RNA". It matches the Rfam family "Bacterial small subunit ribosomal RNA", at positions 28 to 526 of the family's 1533-position model. The record is from RNAcentral.